RNAcentral lists this long non-coding RNA (889 nucleotides) under Elaeis guineensis (African oil palm). RNAcentral describes it as "long non-coding RNA (EGUI_LNC019099)". Lineage: Eukaryota; Viridiplantae; Streptophyta; Magnoliopsida; Arecales; Arecaceae. The record is from RNAcentral.
AGUUCUUCCCUUCUCUCCCCAACCUCUUUCUUUAAUACUGCCACAAUUUUUUCCUAUGUGUCUGAUAUCUUUAUAGUUAUAUAUCCCGUUUAUAUUAAGUGCCGUGGGAGUCUUUCCUUUUCUUGUCUUCCUUCCUCCUCUCCUCGUUCCCCCCACCCCCCACCUCUCUCUCUCUCCUCCCCCUACCUAUCGUUUUCUCUCAGAACAACAUGAAGGUGGAGUUGGAUGCGAUAUCUAGUAAGAUACUUCCCCUUGGGGUAUCAUUUUGGCUUCAACAGUUGCUCAAGGGUUUACAUGGGCCCUUUCAGUGAUCUCUCUUGAGCUCUCCACAAGAAAUUCACCUCAAAAGUAUGGGAUUUCGGUGAGGAAUUCAUCGGUCAAUGGCAUACAUGGGAAAGCCAGGCAAUUUUCUUUGCUCCUACUACACCUUGUUUCAUCUUUCUUCUUACUUCGCUUUUGUUAAGAGAUAUGGGUUAGCAAGGAAUUGAUGUUACAGAGCAAUAUGUACAAUUCUGCCUAUAGAAAAUUAGAGGCAGAUUGAAAGAAAUGUAACAAGAUUUGACUGGUUUCCCUUGUCUCUGUUUGAUGUUUUAUAUUUCCUUCUGGCUGUGCAUUGUAGUUGGUGGAGCUGGAAGAAGGCUUAUAUAGUCUUUUUUUUUUUUGGUAGCUAGAAAGGAAGAAGGCUUAUAUAGUCUUUACAGGCAACAUUUUCAAGCACUCAGACAAAAUAUAAGCAUGAAUACUGGAAAUAUCAUAAAAACUUUUCACCUACACUUUCUCCUUUUUUGGAAAAUAUUGUAUACAUGUAUGUCUGUUUGUCUGUAAAUGUAUACAUAUAUGUAUGUAUGUUCAUAAAUAUUUUGUUUGCUUUCAUGUAGUUAAACAAUAA